Molecule: long non-coding RNA, 966 nt
Organism: Sinocyclocheilus anshuiensis
Lineage: Eukaryota; Metazoa; Chordata; Actinopteri; Cypriniformes; Cyprinidae
Exons: 2
Source: RefSeq, a predicted model, not a curated record
CAGGGCUCAACUGGAUGUGACAAAUUCUAUUUUCGUUAAAAUACUGUAAACAAAACAUACACAAUUCAUGUGAAUAUACAAGUGUAACUUUAAUAACUUAGCCUUUAACUUAAGCAGGUUUUUCAAAAAUGGCAACUGUGGUUUCAUUAUGAUGUUCUGGAUAAAAGACGAUUUUACUUUCCAACCCGACAUGAACAAAAUUUGAGCUUUACAUCCUGACCUUUAAAUCAACAAAAUGCAUUGCGUGUCAAUUCAAUCGAUGAUAAACACUUAUUUUUCCGGAGCAAUCAAUAUUAGAUCCAUGUUAAUUUAUGGCAAACAAAUGUUUAUGGAAUUAGUAAUGAAAUCAAUAACCAAAUAGCCAAUAUUCAUAUUACAGAAACAAAUCAAACAGGUUCUGAAACAUUUGUAAUUAAAUGUCUGCAUAAAGCAGUUUGAUUGGGAUUUGACAGAAAAUACACUCCACAUGAUUCCCCACCACCAGUUACCUGACAUGCCAAACACUCAAUUGGCCUUUCUAUCUAAAGUAUCUUAUAUAAGAAAUAAGGACAACCCAUCAUGUUAAAUCAAGAGUGGUAUAUUAGUGCAUCAGCCAAAAGAGCACACACUUUCAUUACCCAGGAGCUCAUAUUAACGUACAUUUCUACUUUUAAGGGGGUCAUAGUCCAGCUUGACUUCCAUACAUCAGAACAAAGCUGGACUGUACAUGUGCGGCUCUCCAAAUCCUCUGACCUGGAUUUGAAAAGCACUUAAAGGGCACUUCAAUUUCAGGACGACACAGUUUUUCUCUACUUCCGUACCUCUCCUGAGAGAAAGCUCUGCUGAACAUCAUUCGUACAGCACAAAGAUUUACCUAACCCCUGAACCAAAUCAUAACAGCCUUGAAAUGUAAAAUGUCAACAAUUGCACCAUUGUAUCAUAAGCCUCACUUCCUUUGCCUUUCUUUUGAUGUCUAUAUGGUUCAUU